GAUUCACUCUGCACCCAGCUGCAGCCCCAAGUGGGUGCUUUUCUGUAUUCCAUAGAAAUAUCCCCAAGUGUUGUGACCACCUUAACCUGUCAAGGGCGAUGCAACCUUCUGGGACACAGGG
Molecule: small nucleolar RNA, 121 nt
Organism: Ailuropoda melanoleuca (giant panda)
Lineage: Eukaryota; Metazoa; Chordata; Mammalia; Carnivora; Ursidae
Source: Ensembl